This 468-nucleotide ribosomal RNA is filed under the name uncultured bacterium. RNAcentral's name for it is "partial 16S ribosomal RNA". It matches the Rfam family "Bacterial small subunit ribosomal RNA", at positions 28 to 507 of the family's 1533-position model. The record is from RNAcentral.
GACGAACGCUGGCGGCGUGCUUAACACAUGCAAGUCGAACGGAAAGGCCCUGCUUUUGUGGGGUGCUCGAGUGGCGAACGGGUGAGUAACACGUGAGUAACCUGCCCUUGACUUUGGGAUAACUUCAGGAAACUGGGGCUAAUACCGGAUAGGAGCUCCUGCUGCAUGGUGGGGGUUGGAAAGUUUCGGCGGUUGGGGAUGGACUCGCGGCUUAUCAGCUUGUUGGUGGGGUAGUGGCUUACCAAGGCUUUGACGGGUAGCCGGCCUGGGAGGGUGACCGGCGACAUUGGGACUGAGAUACGGCCCAGAGUCCUACGGGGGGCAGCGGUGGGGAAUAUUGCACAAUGGGCGGAAGCGUGAUGCAGAAACGCCGCGUGCGGGAUGACGGCCUUCGGGUUGUAAACCGCUUUCGCCUGUGACGAAGCGUGAGUGACGGUAAUGGGUAAAGAAGCACCGGCUAACUACGUG